UCGGGAAUUUUGGGCAAUGGGCGAAAGCCUGACCCAGCAACGCCGCGUGAGGGAUGAAGUAUUUCGGUAUGUAAACCUCGAAAGAAUGGGAAGAAUAAAUGACGGUACCAUUUAUAAGCUCCGGCUAACUACGUGCCAGCAGCCGCGGUAAUACGUAGGGAGCAAGCGUUGUUCGGAUUUACUGGGCGUAAAGGGCGCGUAGGCGGCGCGGUAAGUCACUUGUGAAAUCUCUGAGCUUAACUCAGAACGGCCAAGUGAUACUGCUGUGCUAGAGUGCGGAAGAGGCAACCGGAAUUCUUGGUGUAGCGGUGAAAUGCGUAGAUAUCAAGAGGAACACCUGAGACGAAGGCGGGUUGCUGGGCCGACACUGACGCUGAUGCGCGAAAACCAGGGGA
Molecule: ribosomal RNA, 395 nt
Filed under: uncultured bacterium
Lineage: Bacteria
Description: bacterial SSU rRNA
Rfam family: Bacterial small subunit ribosomal RNA
Source: RNAcentral